UUACAAGUGUACAAAUGUUACAACAGCAUGAUUCUCAGCCACCAAGGCCACAGGUGUAAAAACUACCCAGGUUUGUUAGAGGAGCUUCUGGGCCACAAGACAGAAUAGGAAGCACAGCGAUGCUUGGCACAGGUUCCUGCCAUCAGAGCACCCUACAGUGAAGCCAGUCUCUCCCUAUUGCCAGCUUUAUUUUUUGAUUUCACUUGUCAAUUCCAGGCCUUCUUCAUUCAUUCUUGCUUCUUGCUCAUCCACCCACUGAGGGGAAAGUCAGCUCUUUGAGGGAAAUGGCCUGCUUGUCUUGGGUAUGGUUCAGAUUCCAGUAAACCGGAAGUGAUGUGGACUCAUCAUUGUGCUAGUCACACAUUUGUUUUUUUAUUAAAACCUUCAAGGUAAGUAUUUUUAUUCCCAUUUGACAUGGGAGGGUAUGGAAAUGCAGAAGGCUAAGCAACAGACAAUACCAUGCUGCUGUGAGCAACAAAGCAGGAACCCACAUCCAAACCUGGCUGACUUCUCCACUGGUGCCUGAGGCAGCAGAAACAGAGGCUAUAUUUUUAAGGAGCUGCAGUGGAUGCCCAGACCCAGAAGGGACUGCUCUCCCUCUGCAUUCCCAGAUCAUCUGCUUCUCUCUGGGCACUGGCCAUACAAGUCAUCAGCCUUACUCAGGAUAUUUGUUUACCUGUCCUGGUUCCCUUUUCUCCGCUAGAAACUCCUUGGGGGUGGGGCGAGUGGGACAGAUGUCAGACUCGACACGUAGCAUCGUCAAAGGCUGGGGUUUUAUCUUUUACAAUGAAGCCAUUUUUGUAAUGUUGGCCAUUCUCUUCUAUACAGACUCCCGUGGUGAAGGCAGGUAAGCAUUAUGAUACCAUAGCUUUUCCACCUCUUGGGAACGCAGAAAUCACAGUGCAGGAACUUCAAGAAAAGUGUCGCUACUGAUCGGCUCAUCUUUUAGAGAAGAACCUGUUGGGUUUGUCAAGAAUCACUGAUUCCCACCGAAAAUGAAACCACUGAUCCCUUGGAGCCAAGAUUUGAAUUUAAGAAGAUUCUUUAAGGAUCUUGAGGAUAAACUGCAAGUUCUUAGAAGGGAAUAGAAGCAGUUUGUGGCAACCAUCUCCGUUCUCAAUUAACGGCAUGGGUGAGACCGCAAACAGACCUGCACUAAAGACGAGCAGCCAGGGUUAAAACAAGCCAACUGAACGCUUUGUCCCUUGAAACCUUUCCUCAUUAAAUCUGGAGAAAGCUUUGCGUCUAAGCAACUGAGUACAAAGAAGUUUGAAUACAGACUCAUGCUUCCUGAACCACUGUCAACCUUGUGUCUCUAGAGCGUGCUGUGCACAGGCCGGCAUCUCUCCAUCAGCUCUGCCAUGGAGUGAGGGAAAAGCACACAUUUUUAUUCAUUUCAAUCAGGUUGCUGUGUGUCUGGCACACUAAAGAGGGAAAUCGGGCCCUUUUUAAUUAGGGGAAAAGCAGAAAGACUUUCAUGUGAGAACACUGCAGUCAAGCAUAUGUCAUCUUAGCUACUCAGGAGCUGUAAUUGCUUCUCUCCCGGACCACCUGCUGAGUUUCGAGUAUCAGUCUACUUAAUUUAACACAAAGAGAUUGAGGAUGCUGUUUUAGUCGUUGACUAGAGAGAGAAACUACCCUCAGA
This is a long non-coding RNA of Lagenorhynchus albirostris (white-beaked dolphin), 1645 nucleotides long. RefSeq lists it as uncharacterized. NCBI's taxonomy places the organism in Eukaryota, Metazoa, Chordata, Mammalia, Artiodactyla, Delphinidae. The transcript has 3 exons. The record is from RefSeq and is a predicted model, not a curated record.